Molecule: transfer RNA, 70 nt
Filed under: Camelus bactrianus (Bactrian camel)
Lineage: Eukaryota; Metazoa; Chordata; Mammalia; Artiodactyla; Camelidae
Also listed under: 2 other names
Rfam family: tRNA
About the family: Transfer RNA (tRNA) molecules are approximately 80 nucleotides in length. Their secondary structure includes four short double-helical elements and three loops (D, anti-codon, and T loops). Further hydrogen bonds mediate the characteristic L-shaped molecular structure. tRNAs have two regions of fundamental functional importance: the anti-codon, which is responsible for specific mRNA codon recognition, and the 3' end, to which the tRNAs corresponding amino acid is attached (by aminoacyl-tRNA synthetases). tRNAs cope with the degeneracy of the genetic code in two manners: having more than one tRNA (with a specific anti-codon) for a particular amino acid; and 'wobble' base-pairing, i.e. permitting non-standard base-pairing at the 3rd anti-codon position.
Source: Rfam by way of RNAcentral
GGGGGUAGCUCAGUGGUAGAGUGUGUGCUUAGCAUGCAGGAGGUCCUGGGUUCAAUCCCCAGUGCCUCCA